This 1294-nucleotide long non-coding RNA is filed under the name Helianthus annuus (common sunflower). RNAcentral describes it as "hypothetical non coding rna". Lineage: Eukaryota; Viridiplantae; Streptophyta; Magnoliopsida; Asterales; Asteraceae. The record is from RNAcentral.
UGAUGUGUGUGUUUUGGUCGACCAAGAUCAGAGAACAAGGGGGGAGAACACCUCAAGCCCUAAAAUCACAAAUCCUUCAAAAUCAAAAAGGGAAUCAGGCCUAAAAUCAGUGCAUGAGCUAAAUUAGUGAUCACUCAAGUUAGGAGAUUACAAGAUGUUAAUCACACGCACUAGACAUAGAGGCUUGAAACGAUGCUAAUACAUGGCAAAUUAGGUGAAACAUCAAGUGGCUAAGCCGGAACGGACACACGUUUGAAGGAAAAACUUUAAGGUACGCAGCUUACUUGCUUCGUAGUAUUUUGCUUAAUGGAUUUGGUUAUUGAUUCAUGAUGGAUGAGGAAAUAACGAUUUACGACAGGUUUGGUAUGUUUAUAUGUGAUGGAUUUCACACAAACAACCGAACGGGUCAAAAUAAAGAAAGUAACAAAUUGAUUCGUUCAUAAGUGAUGGAUUUUCACGCGAACAGACCAAUCGAUUGAAAGCGUGAACCGAGUAACGGAAACGCGGAUUUGUAAUCGGCGAAUCUUUGAAUGGGUUAAAGCUUAGAGAAUAUGGAUUUUCUUUUAAGUAAACAAAAAGUAAGGCUUAUGCUUAGUUAGACUUAAUCAAGCGGAACAAUAUUGCGUAUGAAAACCGUGUAACGGGAGCUUAAAACGCGAGUUUAGUAAGCCCAAGGAAGGGACAAAAUGGUAAGAAAUUAAUUCUUGCCAUAAUGUGAAUAAUGAGGUUUAACGUAAAACGAGUCACAUAAUUUCAUAAAAGAAUUACAAGCCGAAAGCUUAUAAAUUACGAAUCUUGUUGAUUAGGAUAGUGGAUGUUGAGUCCAUAUUGAUGAUCAAAUUACGAUUGUUUAGGAAGAAACGGGAGGUUAAACGGAUAAAGGCAAAAUAAACAACAAACUGUAGACCUAAACCGUAACCUACGGCUGGAGGCCGUAGGCUACGGUCCAAGCUUUCUGUCUGGGAAGAUCCAUACGGACCGUAAGCUACGGUUUGAGGUCCGUAGCUUACGGUGUGAAAUUCAAAAAUUUUUAUUUUUGUUUUGUUGAGUAAUUUAUGUUAUUAGAUUACCUUUAAUCAUUAUAAUACUAACAUUUAAGACUCUUAAUUGUUAUUCAAGUCUUUAAUAUGUUGUUAAUGGAUGGGAUCAAGCUCGUGCAAGAACCGAACACAAUAAAUUUGAAGCUUCCGCUUUUGGUUUUAGAUGUUUAUUAUGAACCAAACUAUGUUAUCGUUUUGUAAAUGUUUUAAACACUUAUGGAUCUUAAUUAACCCGUAAGUAUACAAUAUUAUAU